AUCCUACGGGGGGCAGCAGUGAGGAAUAUUGGUCAAUGGGCGCAAGCCUGAACCAGCCAAGUCGCGUGAGGGAUGACGGUCCUAUGGAUUGUAAACCUCUUUUGUCGGGGAGCAAGGCCCGCCACGUGUGGCGGGCAGGAGAGUACCCGAAGAAAAAGCAUCGGCUAACUCCGUGCCAGCAGCCGCGGUAAUACGGAGGAUGCGAGCGUUAUCCGGAUUUAUUGGGUUUAAAGGGUGCGUAGGCGGAAGGUUAAGUCUGAUGUGAAAGUCCGGGG
RNAcentral lists this ribosomal RNA (275 nucleotides) under uncultured bacterium. RNAcentral's name for it is "partial 16S ribosomal RNA". It matches the Rfam family "Bacterial small subunit ribosomal RNA", at positions 335 to 607 of the family's 1533-position model. The record is from RNAcentral.